RNAcentral lists this ribosomal RNA (472 nucleotides) under Salmonella enterica. Its description in RNAcentral is "bacterial SSU rRNA". It matches the Rfam family "Bacterial small subunit ribosomal RNA", at positions 1 to 471 of the family's 1533-position model. The record is from RNAcentral. Lineage: Bacteria; Pseudomonadati; Pseudomonadota; Gammaproteobacteria; Enterobacterales; Enterobacteriaceae.
AAAUUGAAGAGUUUGAUCAUGGCUCAGAUUGAACGCUGGCGGCAGGCCUAACACAUGCAAGUCGAACGGUAGCACAGAGAGCUUGCUCUCGGGUGACGAGUGGCGGACGGGUGAGUAAUGUCUGGGAAACUGCCUGAUGGAGGGGGAUAACUACUGGAAACGGUGGCUAAUACCGCAUAACGUCGCAAGACCAAAGAGGGGGACCUUCGGGCCUCUUGCCAUCAGAUGUGCCCAGAUGGGAUUAGCUUGUUGGUGAGGUAACGGCUCACCAAGGCGACGAUCCCUAGCUGGUCUGAGAGGAUGACCAGCCACACUGGAACUGAGACACGGUCCAGACUCCUACGGGAGGCAGCAGUGGGGAAUAUUGCACAAUGGGCGCAAGCCUGAUGCAGCCAUGCCGCGUGUAUGAAGAAGGCCUUCGGGUUGUAAAGUACUUUCAGCGGGGAGGAAGGUGUUGUGGUUAAUAACCACA